Molecule: non-coding RNA, 119 nt
Organism: Picea glauca (white spruce)
Lineage: Eukaryota; Viridiplantae; Streptophyta; Pinopsida; Pinales; Pinaceae
Source: Rfam
AAGUGUGAUCAUACCAACGUUAAUGCAACAGAUCCCAUUAGAACUUCAAAUUUAAGCGUGGUUGAGCUAUAGUAGUAUUGGAAUGGGUGACCUCUCGAGAAGUCAUAGUGUUGCACCCU